GCGGGUGUAGUUCAGUGGUAGAACGUCAGCUUCCCAAGCUGAAUGUCGUGGGUUCGAGUCCCAUCACCCGCU
Molecule: transfer RNA, 72 nt
Organism: Limnothrix sp. P13C2
Lineage: Bacteria; Bacillati; Cyanobacteriota; Cyanophyceae; Pseudanabaenales; Pseudanabaenaceae
Rfam family: tRNA
About the family: Transfer RNA (tRNA) molecules are approximately 80 nucleotides in length.
Source: Rfam